CCUACGGGAGGCAGCAGUGAGGAAUAUUGGUCAAUGGACGCAAGCCUGAACCAGCCAUGCCGCGUGCAGGAUGACUGCCCUACGGGUUGUAAACUGCUUUUGUAAGGGAGUAAAUUGCGACACGUGUGCCUUUUUGUAUGUACCUUAUGAAUAAGGAUCGGCUAACUCCGUGCCAGCAGCCGCGGUAAUCCGGAGGAUUCAAGCGUUAUCCGGAUUUAUUGGGUUUAAAGGGAGCGUAGGGGGGUUGUUAAGUCAGUUGUGAAAGUUUGGGGCUCAACCGUAGCACUGCAAUUGAUACUGGCAGGCGAGAGUUGAGUUGCGGUAGGCGGAAUGCGUGGUGUAGCGGUGAAAUGCAUAGAGAUCACGCAGAACACCGAUUGCGAAGGCAGCUUACUAAACUGCAACUGACAUUGAGGCACGAAAGCGUGGGGAGCAAACAGGAUUAGAUACCCGAGUAGUC
This 460-nucleotide ribosomal RNA is filed under the name uncultured bacterium. Its description in RNAcentral is "partial 16S ribosomal RNA". It matches the Rfam family "Bacterial small subunit ribosomal RNA", at positions 338 to 795 of the family's 1533-position model. The record is from RNAcentral.